Molecule: unclassified non-coding RNA, 194 nt
Filed under: uncultured Russulaceae
Lineage: Eukaryota; Fungi; Basidiomycota; Agaricomycetes; Russulales; Russulaceae
Description: sequence contains ITS1
Source: RNAcentral
UCGUAUAAAAGAGGUGUGAGGGCUGUCGCUGACCCUCAAAGGUCGUGCACGCCCAAAGCACUUUCACACAAUCCAUCUCACCCCUUUUGUGCAUCACCGCGUGGGUCUCUCCUUUGUAGGAAGGGCCUGCGUUUUAUCAUAAAAACUUUACAUGGUGUAGAAUGUUUUAUUUUUGUGGUCACACACAAUCAAUA